This 345-nucleotide transfer-messenger RNA is filed under the name Flavisphingopyxis soli. RNAcentral's name for it is "Sphingorhabdus soli Alphaproteobacteria transfer-messenger RNA". It matches the Rfam family "Alphaproteobacteria transfer-messenger RNA". Rfam says of the family: Bacterial tmRNA, also known as 10Sa RNA or SsrA, is named for its dual tRNA and mRNA-like properties. Its role is to liberate the mRNA from a stalled ribosome. The record is from Rfam by way of RNAcentral. Lineage: Bacteria; Pseudomonadati; Pseudomonadota; Alphaproteobacteria; Sphingomonadales; Sphingopyxidaceae.
GUUAUUGCGCCGUUCAUCGCAACGCCCUAUAUCGGUGGAGCCGGUUUCGGCCGGCUAUGGCGAUAAAUUGUUGCGUGCAAUAAGCGCAGCGGACCCGGGGGCAGUACCCGGCGGCUCCACCAGAAAUCGCGCGAAAGCGGGGUUCCCGAUGGGGCCGAACCAGGAUCGACGUGUGUUCAAAAGCGCAGUUUUUGCCCGGGCUGAGUAACCCGUUAAAGGCUCAAAACCCAUAAGUGCCAACGAUAACGAAGCACUUGCUCUUGCAGCGUAAUUGAUGGGCUAACGCCCUGAUAUUACACUAACAGAACGCGGCUUGGACCGAGCCGGGCAACAGGAUCGGAAACC